Molecule: ribosomal RNA, 469 nt
Filed under: uncultured bacterium
Lineage: Bacteria
Description: bacterial SSU rRNA
Rfam family: Bacterial small subunit ribosomal RNA
Source: RNAcentral
AACCAGACUCCUACGGGAGGCAGCAGUGGGGAAUUUUGGACAAUGGGCGCGAGCCUGAACCAGCCAAGUCGCGUGAGGGAAGACUGCCCUAUGGGUUGUAAACCUCUUUUGUCAGGGAGCAAUUGGCGCUACGUGUAGCGUUAUCGAGAGUACCUGAAGAAAAAGCAUCGGCUAACUCCGUGCCAGCAGCCGCGGUAAUACGGAGGAUGCGAGCGUUAUCCGGAUUUAUUGGGUUUAAAGGGUGCGCAGGCGGAGGUGCAAGUCAGCGGUCAAAUUGCGGGGCUCAACCCCGUACUGCCGUUGAAACUGCAUCCCUUGAGUGCGCGAGAAGUAUGCGGAAUGCGUGGUGUAGCGGUGAAAUGCAUAGAUAUCACGCAGAACUCCGAUUGCGAAGGCAGCAUACCGGCGCGCAACUGACGCUCAUGCACGAAAGCGUGGGUAUCGAACAGGAUUAGAUACCCGAGUAUGU